This 253-nucleotide ribosomal RNA is filed under the name uncultured bacterium. RNAcentral describes it as "partial 16S ribosomal RNA". It matches the Rfam family "Bacterial small subunit ribosomal RNA", at positions 524 to 776 of the family's 1533-position model. The record is from RNAcentral.
UACAGAGGGUGCAAGCGUUAUUCGGAAUUACUGGGCGUAAAGCGCAUGUAGGCGGUUCGGUAAGUCUGGUGUGAAAUCCCCCGGCUCAAUCGGGGAAGUGCAUCGGAUACUGCCAAACUGGAGUACAGGAUGGGAGAACGGAAUUCCAGGUGUAGAGGUGAAAUUCGUAGAUAUCUGGAGGAACAACGGCGGCGAAGGCGGUUCUCUGGACUGUAACUGACGCUGAGAUGCGAAAGCGUGGGGAGCAAACAGG